Molecule: ribosomal RNA, 223 nt
Filed under: uncultured Pseudomonadales bacterium
Lineage: Bacteria; Pseudomonadati; Pseudomonadota; Gammaproteobacteria; Pseudomonadales
Description: partial 16S ribosomal RNA
Rfam family: Bacterial small subunit ribosomal RNA
Source: RNAcentral
CGGGUGAGUAAUGCUUAGGAAUCUGCCUAGUAGCGGGGGAUAACUUGGGGAAACCCAAGCUAAUACCGCAUACGACCUACGGGUGAAAGGGGGCUUUUAGCUCUCGCUAUUAGAUGAGCCUAAGUCGGAUUAGCUGGUUGGUGGGGUGAAGGCCUACCAAGGCGGCGAUCUGUAGCUGGUCUGAGAGGAUGAUCAGCCACACUGGGACUGAGACACGGCCCAG